CACAGUGAACAACUUGUGGAGGUUG
Molecule: non-coding RNA, 25 nt
Filed under: Mus musculus (house mouse)
Lineage: Eukaryota; Metazoa; Chordata; Mammalia; Rodentia; Muridae
Source: RNAcentral